UCAAUGUCAUUAUUGCAAUUUACUUUAAACAAUUACAUUCCUAGGGAUUGAAUUUUAUCUUGUCACCCUAGGUUGCAAACCCUUUUCUAGCUUUAAGGAAAGUGUAGAAAUAGAAAUAUUCUUAUGUUACUAAUUAAAUUUAUUUAGUGUUGUGAUUUUAGUUGGAACUGCCUAUUCACCCCCCUCUAGUCAGUAUCCUAGAUCCAUAAGGCCACCACAAGGGGAUAUGGAAACAUGGCCAGUGCGGGUGGAGGUAAGAGCACAGUGGUUAGGAGACGGUAGUAGUGCAGGCGGAGGUAGGAGAGUGGUGACCUAUGAUAGAUGAGUGGGAGAGAGAAGUUAGAGAUGGAGGGAUUGGAAAAUAAAAUAGUGCUGAUAAGGGACCCACAAUAACUUUGGGUGAGGUUCUAUAGUUAGAUCCCAGGUGAUCUUUUAUGCUAUAUAUAGCACUACAAGAAAUUUUCCAAUUUAUGAUGAAAAUUUUACGAUACAUGUCAAAACUGAAAAUGUCAUAAAAUUUUGCAUCUGAGUAAAUUUAGUGAGAAAGUUACAAAACGUCAUAAAAGUUAUCAUCGAAGCCAAAUAGACAACGCCACUCACUAUUACAUGGUGGUUUUGUGAUGAUAUAAGGUCCGCAAAAACAUCAUAAACCAGCAGGAUCCCACAUGUAAGCAAGUGUUGAAAAAUAAGGUGUGCAAAAACGUAAUAAACCGAGGGGGUCCCUCAUGUGAGCAUGAGUUGAGAAAUAAGGUUUUCCAAUUCAUCAUAAACUCUGCUAGGGUCCCACAUGUCAGUUUGAGAUAAAAAGGAAGGAAAAUAAAAAAGGAAAGAAUGUCCAUACCAGGGGUCGAGCUUGUGACCUCUUGCUUCUGACAAGUGACAAGUCAGCACUAUUACUGAGACAUGACAUAGUUAUGUUUUUAUUGAAAGGCACUUCUUUUAUAUUAUGGUUCCAAUAUGUGUGGUCCACUUCCCAGUUGCAGGCCAGAUAAAUGGGUAUAUUAUUAUUUAUCAUUUCUCUACACAGUGUACACUGCAAGGAACUCGCCGCCACGCUCCUGUUGGCUGUGGCAAAGACUAGAGCCUAGAGGCGUCUGUGUGCAGAUCUACAACGGGUGGCAGGAAUGGCGCAUCCUAGCGGCGAAGGAAGUAGUAGGAGCUACAGUUAAGUCAGUCCUCUAUUUUGUGCCUCUACUUUCCCCUAUCGUCAGAGGGAAGGGGAUUUGGGCUGAAGGCACUAGAUUCCAAUUUCAUCCUACCCUUACG
Molecule: long non-coding RNA, 1266 nt
Filed under: Setaria viridis
Lineage: Eukaryota; Viridiplantae; Streptophyta; Magnoliopsida; Poales; Poaceae
Description: long non-coding RNA (SVIR_LNC010366)
Source: RNAcentral